GACGAACGCUGGCGGCGUGCCUAAUACAUGCAAGUCGAGCGAAGUUUUUCUGGUGCUUGCACUAGAAAAACUUAGCGGCGAACGGGUGAGUAACACGUAAAGAACCUGCCUCAUAGACUGGGACAACUAUUGGAAACGAUAGCUAAUACCGGAUAACAGUAUUUCUCGCAUGAGAGAUAUUUAAAAGUUGGUUAUGCUAACACUAUGAGAUGGCUUUGCGGUGCAUUAGCUAGUUGGUGGGGUAAAGGCCCACCAAGGCGACGAUGCAUAGCCGACCUGAGAGGGGGAUCGGCCACACUGGGACUGAGACACGGCCCAGACUCCUACGGGAGGCAGCAGUAGGGAAUCUUCCGCAAUGGGCGAAAGCCUGACGGAGCAACGCCGCGUGAGUGAAGAAGGAUUUGGGUUCGUAAAGCUCUGUUGUUAGGGAAGAAUGGAUAUGUAGUAACUAUACAUGUAAGAGACGGUACCUAACCAGAAAGCCACGGCUAACUACGUG
This 499-nucleotide ribosomal RNA is filed under the name uncultured bacterium. RNAcentral's name for it is "partial 16S ribosomal RNA". It matches the Rfam family "Bacterial small subunit ribosomal RNA", at positions 28 to 507 of the family's 1533-position model. The record is from RNAcentral.